Molecule: ribosomal RNA, 429 nt
Filed under: Chloroflexota bacterium
Lineage: Bacteria; Bacillati; Chloroflexota
Description: Chloroflexi bacterium partial 16S ribosomal RNA
Rfam family: Bacterial small subunit ribosomal RNA
Source: RNAcentral
UGGGGAAUAUUGCACAAUGGGCGCAAGCCUGAUGCAGCCAUGCCGCGUGUGUGAAGAAGGCCUUCGGGUUGUAAAGCACUUUCAGCGGGGAGGAAGGCGUUAAGGUUAAUAACCUUGGCGAUUGACGUUACCCGCAGAAGAAGCACCGGCUAACUCCGUGCCAGCAGCCGCGGUAAUACGGAGGGUGCAAGCGUUAAUCGGAAUUACUGGGCGUAAAGCGCACGCAGGCGGUCUGUCAAGUCGGAUGUGAAAUCCCCGGGCUCAACCUGAGAACUGCAUUCGUGACUGGCAUGCUAGAGUCUUGUAGAGGGAGGUAGAAUUCCAGGUGUAGCGGUGAAGUGCGUAGAGAUCUGGAGGAAUACCGGUAGCGAAGGCGGCCCCCUGGACAAAGACUGACGCUCAGGUGCGAAAGCGUGGGGAGCAAACAGG